RNA transcript from Molossus molossus (Pallas's mastiff bat), 891 nucleotides. It is a transcript of the gene named mediator complex subunit 10, with no coding region annotated. NCBI's taxonomy places the organism in Eukaryota, Metazoa, Chordata, Mammalia, Chiroptera, Molossidae. The transcript is spliced from 5 exons. The record is from RefSeq and is a predicted model, not a curated record.
GCGGCGGAGAAGGGCCACGCCCGCGGCGGUGCUGAUCGGGGCAAUGGCUGAGAAGUUCGACCACCUGGAGGAGCACCUGGAGAAGUUUGUGGAGAACAUCCGGCAGCUCGGCAUCAUCGUCAGUGACUUCCAGCCCAGCAGCCAGGCCGGGCUCAACCAGAAGCUGAAUUUUAUCGUGACUGGCUUACAGGAUAUUGAUAAAUGCAGACAGCAACUUCAUGAUAUUACUGUACCUUUAGAAGUUUUUGAAUAUAUAGAUCAAGGUCGAAACCCGCAACUCUAUACCAAAGAGUGCCUGGAAAGGGCUCUAGCAAAAAAUGAACAAGUUAAAGGGAAGAUAGACACAAUGAAGAAAUUUAAAAGCCUGUUGAUUCAAGAACUUUCUAAAGUAUUUCCAGAAGACAUGGCUAAAUACCGAAGCAUCCGAGGGGAGGACCACCCCCCGUCCUAAUUUCAUCCUCCCUCUGUGUGAACAUCCUCCUAGUCUUGUAUGAAUUGCCGUGACCUUCAGGCAGCCUGUGGACUAGUGGCCUCCGAGACAGCGGGGCCUAGAGGGCUUUACAGAGCUGUGCUGCCAGGGGCCCUGUGCUUGCAGGGGCUGGGCUGCUGCGUUAGAGUCCUCUCCUCCCUUGACUUCUAAACAACACACUCCACCUGCACAUUCAGUGUUGGGUUCCUCAGGUGUUCUCUUUCGUUGUACAUCUGCUCCCUGGGCAAGCUCAUCCAUCUCAUGGCUCCAGUUACAAUCCUGUGCCAGAUUCCCAGGUUUGUAUACAUCCCUGCUAAGUGAGUCCUACACAUCCUUAAUCUACCUUUCUGUUCCUCUCCACUUGGCUAUCUCCCAGGUGCCUCCAACUCAGUGUCCCUAAAGUUGGACUCAGCGUCUUUCCC